RNAcentral lists this small nucleolar RNA (55 nucleotides) under Pyrococcus furiosus DSM 3638. RNAcentral describes it as "PFUsR46". It matches the Rfam family "Small nucleolar RNA sR46", at positions 5 to 54 of the family's 56-position model. Lineage: Archaea; Methanobacteriati; Methanobacteriota; Thermococci; Thermococcales; Thermococcaceae. The record is from RNAcentral.
AUGACGACUGAAUCCAAUGCUGAGCAAAGGCGAUGAUUGGCCCCAGAGUGGCUGA